AAAAAAUUGCUGCGCAUGAUGAAGUCAACAAAGUUUUUUCUCAUGCAUUUUCUUCAGCAGGAUUUCCAACCAUGUUACAACCGCCAGCUUUCGAGACUUUAGGCUGUAUGGGACCUGAAACAAAGAAAUUCAUUGAGAAAUUAGGAAAAAUUAUAAAGGCCACUUCAGGGGAACCGCGAUCAAUGGAUUAUUUAUUGCAGAAAAUUUCAAUUGCGAUACAAAGAGGCAACGCUGCGUGUAUUUUGGGGACUUUGGGACCGGAUAGAGUAGAUGAUUUUUAUGUUUUGUAACCUUUGAUUUUUGAAAA
Molecule: long non-coding RNA, 307 nt
Organism: Bradysia coprophila
Lineage: Eukaryota; Metazoa; Arthropoda; Insecta; Diptera; Sciaridae
Source: RefSeq, a predicted model, not a curated record